UCUCAGUCAAAAAAAUGAAUAAAAUAUAUUUUUAAAAAAUCUGUGGUACAUUUAGACCAUGAAAUACUAUGCAGCAGUAAUAACGAAGAAUCUCUUACCUUUGAGAUAACAUGGAGGGACCUGGAGAGUAUCAUGAUAAAUGAAAUAAGUC
Pipistrellus kuhlii (Kuhl's pipistrelle) is the source of this 151-nucleotide long non-coding RNA. RefSeq lists it as uncharacterized. The record is from RefSeq and is a predicted model, not a curated record. The transcript has 3 exons. Lineage: Eukaryota; Metazoa; Chordata; Mammalia; Chiroptera; Vespertilionidae.